GACGAACGCUGGCGGCGUGCCUAAUACAUGCAAGUCGAACGAAGCUGUUUUAACUGGUGCUUGCACCGACUUAAACAACUGAGUGGCGAACGGGUGAGUAACACGUGGGUAACCUGCCCCAAAGCGGGGGAUAACAUUUGGAAACAGAUGCUAAUACCGCAUAACCACAGAAACCACAUGGUUUCUGUGUCAAAGAUGGUUUCGGCUAUCACUUUGGGAUGGACCCGCGGCGUUUUAGCUAGUUGGUAAGGUAAUGGCUUACCAAGGCAAUGAUACGUAGCCGAACUGAGAGGUUGGUCGGCCACAUUGGGACUGAGACACGGCCCAAACUCCUACGGGAGGCAGCAGUAGGGAAUCUUCCACAAUGGACGAAAGUCUGAUGGAGCAACGCCGCGUGAGUGAAGAAGGUUUUCGGAUCGUAAAACUCUGUUGUCAGAGAAGAACGUGUGCGAGAGUAACUGUUCGUGCAGUGACGGUAUCUGGCCAGAAAGCCACGGCUAACUACGUGCCAGCCGCCGCCGUAA
Molecule: ribosomal RNA, 524 nt
Filed under: uncultured bacterium
Lineage: Bacteria
Description: partial 16S ribosomal RNA
Rfam family: Bacterial small subunit ribosomal RNA
Source: RNAcentral